Molecule: long non-coding RNA, 224 nt
Filed under: Physcomitrium patens
Lineage: Eukaryota; Viridiplantae; Streptophyta; Bryopsida; Funariales; Funariaceae
Description: long non-coding RNA (PPAT_LNC008977)
Source: RNAcentral
CUUUGUUAGUAGCCCAAGUUUGUUCUUAUUGUUUUAGCCUUUGAAUAUGGAUAGCCAAGAUACUACACUUGUUAUGUUAUCUCAAGAAACUAGCUCACGAAGACGACCGCGAGAUGAAGAACCGCCUGCACCACGACGACGUCGAAGGAUUCCGAGCAACAGAUCGCUGGUGAUUGUAUUUGAGGUCGAGCCUGCCUACAAUGGUCAGCCAGAAGGAGUGUUUG